CUCCACUUAAACACAUUUUCAUUUGUAUUUUAUGGCAGCAAGAAAGGAGUACUUACAGAUAAUUCCAGCGGGGGAAAGUUCUUGCCUCGAUGUACAAACAAAGAGUUAUAGCUGAGAUUUCUGGAUCUGCCCGAGGAAUUCGGGCGUCCAAGUAAAACAAACCAAGUGAGCAUCCAAAUCCACUGCACGUCCCUGAAAUCCCUCCUGCCUGUGUGCACGGGGCCGUGCGUAUACGAGUACGUGGAUUUAUGAGCAGAGCAAUUACUCUUCCAGGGAUUCUGAAUCUGUAAAUACCUAAAAAUGAACUCCAACUCGAUGGGGUGUUUGAACGACCGCUCGGAUAUGACCUGAUCAAUACUGAUUAUUUAACAAGAGUAAAUCUGACCCAGAACUUUCUAAAGCCUUAAGCUCUCUAGUACACAUGGCCAGUAGGAUUAUUUAGGGGCAUCCAGCCAGAGUUGCCACACAGCACUGCCGUAACCAAACAAACCCACCUACGCUGGGAUUUUGGGCUAUUUAUAGUCAUUCCAAGAGCAGGAGAAGGGUUUGUCCCUAUAGGGCCAUGCAUAUACAUAGGUCUCCUCCUGAAAACUGCAGCUUUGCUGUGUCAUCCCAAUCCGGAUUCAUAAAGCUUCCUUUAGCACAGGCUGCUGCGCUGUUUCUGCAGUUUAAUAGACGCUUUUCAGACAUAGACUUCACUACAGAGGUUACAUCUGCACAUUGGCUUCUCAGCUUUGCUUUCCAUAGGUAUGUUAACCAGGACAAUGCCAUAUCACUGAUUUCACUAACACUGCAAGCAUUCACAGUGCCUCUGAUUGCUCCUCUGUGAAAUCUGAGCCUCGCUCAGGUGUAACUCGCUGCAGGUGAGGAAACAUACCCAAAGGGCAAAUCAAACCCAUACGGUGUGACAACAUGGCAGAACAGUGGGCAGAAAACGCUGGGGUGGGGUACAGCAGGGAUCUCACACCACCUGUAGGAAUUCCCAAGACUUCUCCUCCAGAAGACAGAGCAGACAAAGCUUUCUGGAGCCUUCACACAGGUGUGACCUGCUCCAGGGACCUAUACCUUACAGCCUAGAGCUGAAGGCAGCGGCUUUUGGUCUCAUUUGGGGUAAAUUUCAAAGCUUCCUGCAGAUGGAAGAAACCAAAGGACUUCCAUUUGUCCUCCUUUUGUCUGUAUUUGUGUUGCAGCCCCAGUCCCAGCCAGCACUCACUGAUGUGAGCAGGACCCAUGAAGAGGGCACUCGCUGCUUGCUAAUCUCAUGCAUGUUAUACUUGAUACAAGCGAGGAAGGCUGAAUAUAUAAGCAGAACAAAACAUGGCAAAUGUGCUCACAAAAGGCUUUGUCAGAUAAGGGGGUGGGGGCCACAAGAAACUCCUCAGCUCUUGUUUGCUGCUUUCUGUUCCACCUACACUCACACCGGUGUGGGAACUGUCCGUUUUUGGGAGGGAUCUGUAGAGGGUUCCUGGUAAGCAUGUGAUCCUGACCACUCGCAGUGGAAUGAGACUGUUUUCUGACUGAUGAUCAUAAUCAUUCCAGCUGCAAAACACACGCGCGUAUAAACAUUACAACAUCGAUGUUGCUUUUACAACGUCUGGUGUCAUCAAAUAAACAACAACAGCCUUCAGGAGUGGCUCCUGAACCCAACAGCUGGACGAAAGCCUUCCUCUGGUGGUGGUUUAUCUUUCAUCCGUCUUUCAGGCUUUCUCAGAAUAAUUCACUACAAAGGAAUAAACAACUGCAGAAUCACACUCUUUCUGUGUGUCACGUAUCAGCAUUUUCUGUCCCUACGUGGAGUGAGAUGAGAUAGUAUUUCGCAAGAAUCCCUCUGUUGCCACUACUGCAGAACAGACCGAGACUUUUCAGCAGUGCCCAUGAAUGGACUGCUGGGAAGAACAUGUUAAUCAACCCUCAGUCAUCCAUUCCAGUAUAAACAGCUUACCCGCAGAUCCACCUCAGGUUGCCUCAUCAUGUACCCAACAAAGAGGAAAUGAGAGGAAAUGGAAGCUUCUCAUGCAGGGCAGAAGCAAACGAGCUGAGCCGGCAGGUUUGGGAGGCCCUGGUUUGCUACAUGUUGGAGACCACUCCCAUCUCUCAAUUGUUCCCCAUCUCAACAGUCACAGCGUCCCUUCUUUCCUUCUCCUUGGCCCCACAGUGAGAUUCAGGCUUCUUCAGCUUCUGGAUUAUCAUUUUCAGUAUCUCUUCUCUCCCCCCAGCUCUCAGGCAAAUCUCUCAGCAGCAGUGGGCUGUGCUAUGGCUGCGCUGGAAAGCAUGCAGCCAGUAAACCCAGCCAGUGAGGCCUGAGUGCUGUGCCGCUCCUCAGAGCCCUCCUCUGCCCAGCUGAUGGCUCUCCUCACCUUGUGGGUGCUCACGGUGGGAUUCCCCUCGCCUCACCUAUCUACUUUGUGGGCUUACCCACCUGUGGAAGCUGUCCAGGUUCCCAUCAUCAGUACUGGAGAUGGAGUCAGCAGAGCUGGGUGCAAUUAAUUC
This is a long non-coding RNA of Gallus gallus (chicken), 2490 nucleotides long. NCBI's taxonomy places the organism in Eukaryota, Metazoa, Chordata, Aves, Galliformes, Phasianidae. The record is from Ensembl.